This 635-nucleotide ribosomal RNA is filed under the name uncultured Actinomycetes bacterium. Its description in RNAcentral is "bacterial SSU rRNA". It matches the Rfam family "Bacterial small subunit ribosomal RNA", at positions 234 to 885 of the family's 1533-position model. Lineage: Bacteria; Bacillati; Actinomycetota; Actinomycetes. The record is from RNAcentral.
CGCCUGGGGAGUACGGGUGAGGUAACGGCUCACCAAGGCAUCGACGGGUAGCUGGUCUGAGAGGAUGAUCAGCCACACUGGGACUGAGACACGGCCCAGACUCCUACGGGAGGCAGCAGUAGGGAAUAUUGCACAAUGGGCGAAAGCCUGAUGCAGCAACGCCGCGUGCGGGAAGAAGGCCCUAGGGUUGUAAACCGCUUUCAGCAGGGAAGAAAAUGACGGUACCUGUAGAAGAAGGUGCGGCCAACUACGUGCCAGCAGCCGCGGUGACACGUAGGCACCAAGCGUUGUCCGGAUUUAUUGGGCGUAAAGAGCUCGUAGGCGGUUCAGUAAGUCGGGUGUGAAAACUCUGGGCUCAACCCAGAGACGCCACCCGAUACUGCUGUGACUAGAGUGCGGUAGGGGAGCGGGGAAUUCCUAGUGUAGCGGUGAAAUGCGCAGAUAUUAGGAGGAACACCAGUGGCGAAGGCGCCGCUCUGGGCCGUAACUGACGCUGAGGAGCGAAAGCGUGGGUAGCAAACAGGAUUAGAUACCCUGGUAGUCCACGCCGUAAACGGUGGGCGCUAGGUGUGGGGAACAUUCCACGUUCUCCGUGCCGCAGCUAACGCAUUAAGCGCCCCGCCUGGGGAGUACGG